UGCAGCCAUGCCGGUGAAUAGCUUCCCCUUUU
RNAcentral lists this non-coding RNA (32 nucleotides) under Rattus norvegicus (Norway rat). Lineage: Eukaryota; Metazoa; Chordata; Mammalia; Rodentia; Muridae. The record is from RNAcentral.